GUGGGGAAUCUUAGACAAUGGGCGCAAGCCUGAUCUAGCCAUGCCGCGUGAGCGAUGAAGGCCUUAGGGUUGUAAAGCUCUUUCAGCUGGGAAGAUAAUGACGGUACCAGCAGAAGAAGCCCCGGCUAACUCCGUGCCAGCAGCCGCGGUAAUACGGAGGGGGCUAGCGUUGUUCGGAAUUACUGGGCGUAAAGCGCACGUAGGCGGAUCAGAAAGUCAGAGGUGAAAUCCCAGGGCUCAACCUUGGAACUGCCUUUGAAACUCCUGAUCUUGAGGUCGAGAGAGGUGAGUGGAAUUCCGAGUGUAGAGGUGAAAUUCGUAGAUAUUCGGAGGAACACCAGUGGCGAAGGCGGCUCACUGGCUCGAUACUGACGCUGAGGUGCGAAAGCGUGGGGAGCAAACAGGAUUAGAAACCCUAGUAGUCC
This 425-nucleotide ribosomal RNA is filed under the name uncultured bacterium. RNAcentral's name for it is "partial 16S ribosomal RNA". It matches the Rfam family "Bacterial small subunit ribosomal RNA", at positions 354 to 796 of the family's 1533-position model. The record is from RNAcentral.